Molecule: long non-coding RNA, 1715 nt
Organism: Gadus macrocephalus (Pacific cod)
Lineage: Eukaryota; Metazoa; Chordata; Actinopteri; Gadiformes; Gadidae
Exons: 3
Source: RefSeq, a predicted model, not a curated record
CAACUGCUGGCAAUCCUCCAUCAGCAGUGGCUUGGCGCACAGUAUUUCCACCCUGGUUCUAGAGACAAUCAUCCCUAGAUUGCACGUAACAUGUUGCCGAACCCCCGCCUGUCCGACUACCCUCCUGUCGCCGAACCAUCGCCUGUCUGACUACCCUCCAGUCGCCAAUCUGACUACCCUACUGUCGCCAAUCUGACUGCUCUCCUGUCGCCUAACCCUCGACCGAGCACGGCAACCCUCCUCCACUCCAUCUCGACCCUCCUCACAGUCUGCACGCCGGACGUGUGGUCGAGAGGCAGCAGGCAGCUGCUGACUCAGGUCAGGGUUGACAGAACCACCUCCACAGGUGUGCCUCCUCCAGCACCACGGCAAGGGUCUGGGGCCGGGCGAGGCGGACGUGCUGCCCUAGACGCUCCGGCUUGAGGCCCCGCAGGAGGGCGUGGAGAGCCACGUCCUGCCGUGCAGCGGCGGGGCAGUCCUGGUAUCCGCGUCUGGUGUACAGCAGGACUUCGGCAGCGUAGACCCCCAGGCUCUCCUUCUUCUUCUGGCGGCGGUCAGCCGGCUGGCCGAACCACAUUCCAGUGCCCUGGUCAUGGCCUGGAGCCCUCGCUGCUCCUCCGGGUCCAGAACGGGCAGCACCCGUGCUGCUGUCCCCUCCAACGCCCAGAGCAAGGUUGACGACCAACUCUUCUGCACCCCAGCUGUUGUGCCAUUGAGCCAGGCGGAACUGGGCCAGGUAUGGCUCCUGCGGCGUUGCCUCUGUUCAUUUUGGAAGCUUCACCACUGUCCUUGCCACCAAGGGGCGGUGGACAGCUGCCUUUUCUCUGGCCGCGGCCACCAGAAGGCGCUGCGCUCCAGUAUCGCAGGGUGUGUCGUAGCGGGUAGGAACUGUCACUUCCUCUAUGGGCUCGACCUUCUCCGCGAGUGCAGGCCAUAUCCCACUUCUGACACCAAUGUGGCGAGUAGCACAGGAAGGAUGAGACGGGAGCCCAAGUAAAGCAGUCGUAUAAUUCUUGCACUCCUUACACUGCACGACUGCGGUAGUUGCCUUUAAUUAACACACACACAUUACACAAAGGAAAACACUCCAGCUAACAAAUCAACAUGAAUGUCUCCAACACAAAUACACCACCAUCUUGGCAUACCCCAACCGUUUAACUCAAAGGUCCAACUGGUGGUCUGAAUCCCCCAGGAUCCCUUGUGGGAUACACUGAACACGGUGACCAUGCCUAAGGUCGCCACAAUAUUAAAAACUGACCUUUGAACCGACUUCAUAAUGUUUAACUGGAGUCCCCGGUUCGGGGGUGAAGUUACAACAAUACACAAUUCUAGCUAGGUAAGCAUUUUUAUUUGAUUAGCUAAACAGUAACCUACCUACUAGGCCUAAACCAUUCACUUACCCUCUCAUAUCACAGCAACAAGGCUACACAAAUUAAACCAGGUCACAUAAUUUACUUUAAAAAUGUUAAAUAUAAUUGGAUGAGGUAGUACAUGGCCUUAUAGUGUAUUUUGAUGGAAUGAUUUUAACCAGAGCUUUUAAAAUCAUGAAGGCCAGCGUAGCUGGAUAGUGAAAAGCAGCAUACAUAAUGAAAAGGAAGGCUAGAAGUAGGGACAUGGACAAUUUAUCAGGAGGAAGAGAAGAAAAUAAAUGAAAAAGGAGAAGACAGUAGGCAUACUGGAGAGAGCAGGAGGCUCAGAGGCUUUUUUGGCGUUUU